Molecule: long non-coding RNA, 3471 nt
Organism: Tachysurus fulvidraco (yellow catfish)
Lineage: Eukaryota; Metazoa; Chordata; Actinopteri; Siluriformes; Bagridae
Exons: 11
Source: RefSeq, a predicted model, not a curated record
UAUAUAUAUAUAUUAUGGCAUGCCGUGUAGGAAAUUAUUCAUGAGAGAAUUGAGUGACAAACUCGAAAUAUAUUGAUUGAAAAACUCCAGCCUGCUAUGUCCAUCUAACGGGUACAAGUAAUGCUAUUGAAGGAAACAUCCCUCACAGUCCUCAGGGGCCGUGUGUAUCAUCCCCUGUCUACAAUCUGUGUCCGUUCACUUGGAAGGGCCCAAGAAAGAAGAGUGAGCAUCCUUUAAAUGCUGAGUAAAGGCAGAAUUUGCCCGGACUUGUUUUGCUGCCAGAGCGGGACAACUAGGAGCAGGAGAAACAGGAGAAUCAACGCUAUAUAGACAAAUGUCUCAUCCAGCCAAACUUCGGAUCAUUCUUCAGGAUCAUGGCAUUCGUAAACUUGACUUGCCUUAUGGAAUCCCUGAGACUGUGGGUGAACUUGAGUCUAUUGUGAGAGAGACAUUUGGGCUUGAUGGGAACUUCACUUUCCAUUAUAAGGAUGCUGAUUUUGGAGAGGAAUAUUUUUCUCUUAGCUCAACAAGAGACAUCAAGGACAAGGUCACAAUUAAGGUGGUUCACAUUGUUGAACCUCCCACACUUUGUUGACCUUUUCCGAUGUAGACAGUUCCAUUGAAAGUGCAUCAGACGCCUCCAUCCAUUCCUCAGCAUCCUCGGCCCAUACUUCAGUGACCUCCAUCCAUCCUUCUAGCAGUUGCUCUUCUGGGUCACAGGAUACACUGAUUCUUUCAUCACCUGAAAACAAGACACAUUCGCAGCGGUCGCCAACUGAAUUUCCAGUACCUCGCUUUGCCUAUGACACAGAACUUGUGCUUGCCUCUGGAAAUGAAGCUUUCAAGAUGGAUGGAAUUCAACUCAACUUUACCACAAUCCUUCCAGACAUCCUUGAGAAACUGGCUGAAAGCAUCUUUCAGUAUGUUGCCUACCCAUCAAGUGCACAGUUGUCUGUUGUUGCUGAGGCACUGAUUAAGAAGCAUCCCUGCCUUAAAGAACCAGGUUCAUAUAAUGGAUGCUACGGAUGACAACAAAGACUAAAAUAUACAAUGGGAAACUAUAGAUCAAAACUCAGAGGUCUUGGAUGCCCUGAGUUUGAUGUGAACUCUCUCAAAAUGAAGCGAGACCAUGAUAAAGCACCUACAAAAAAUAUCAAAAAGCCCAGAAGGGCAGAGGUGAACUAUUUACCCCCUCACCCUCAAGGAGAAACUGAAGGAAGUUUGGAACAUGAAAGAGUGGAGCUCCUUAAUGAAGUAAAAAGGAACAACUCCCAGAUCAUCAGUGCAAAAAUGGCAGAGACAUUCUCAUUUCGCAGGCAGGAAGUUGUCAAUCAAGCACCACUAGUCAGUGACCUAAAAGACAGAUGGCCUGCUCUUUUUGAUGCAGCUCAGAUAAAUGAAGAAUUCAGAAGGAUCACCACUGUUAACCUGGAGACAACGUUCAUGGCAAAACUGGACGAGUACUCCCCAAAAAUAAUGUCCUUGGUGUCCUCAAAAGGAGGGGCUGCAAAAAUGAAUAUUCAGUGCUUAAAGAACAUGCUGCUAGAGGAUGAUUCUGUGGAAAGGAGAAGAAAGACUGCUAUACGUUCUUUAAUAAUAUAUCAUGGAGAAAAGGAGGAAGAUCUCUAUAAAGAGAUCACUCAGAUACACUGUACUUUGUAUUACUCCUUUUUAAAUAUGACUUAAAACACUGACAUUGAUUCUGACCUACUUAGGAUGAUGUGGCUAAUUAUGUAAUGAAGAUUGGCAUAGCUAGAGGUGCCACAAAGUUUGACCCAGCCAUGACCAGUAUCGUUAUUGAGGGAACGGAAGUCCUGCAAGACCUGGAUGUAUCCAGAGCCUGUGCCCUGCUAAUGGGGCUGAUAUAUGCUCUAAACCUCAGCUACCCAAAGGAACUAAAGUAUACUUUUGAGGUGUUCCAGAAGAUAAUUCUUGAGCUGGAUGGGCUGAAAGCUAGCCCGAAGGUGUCCUGCAAUCUCACAAAAAAGGUGGUUCUGCCAGACCGUACACAUUAAGUCUGCUUUGGAACUUAGCCACAACUGGAACUCUACCACUGGGAAUCUACUCUAGUAAUGCAGGCAAUAUCUGAGGCAUUCCAGCCGAUUGUUGGUGCAUGCAGGUUAUAGAUUUUGUUACCUUGCCAUAACAAACUGGUUGAGCCAUCCCUUAGCUCCAAACAGACCCUGUAUGGAGCACUUGUGAAAAAACACUUUCAUCAGAAGUCCAUUUAUGUCAGACCAGACAAGGUGCUGUUAACAGAGGAAGAAGAGCUUUCAACUCAAGAUGGAGACAGUCAACAUACAAACAGCAGUGAACCCCAAGAAGUAUCAGAUGACAUAAAUGAUGCCACACAGUGGUGAUCAAAUUAUCUGGUGUGCAGCCACCCAAGCUGUUUUUACAGAUGCACCUAUCAUCUCAAAAGACAACAAUGCAAUGUCUAGUUGUGCUGCUGUCAUCACCAUUGAUGGUAUUCACACCGUGCCCAGUCAAGCUUCUGUCAUCUCCAGUGGUAACACAGAUGAUUUUCCCAUUGUAUCAUCUGCCAUCAACAGUAAUCCCACUAAUGGUUUGUCCUGUGGCACCAAUUUAAAUUCAAGUGAUGACAAACGUGACUGUCCUUCUACUAACACCUCCGCCGUAAACAGUGAUCAUUCCCCUCCCAUUUCUGGUGCUAUAGCCUCAACUGUCUCCAGUGCAUCCAGCAAUAAUGUAACCCCUUACAGUACUUAUCUGGACCUAUUUGAGGAAGAAUAUUUCUCUGAUGAUCCUGAUCUCCAGGAUUUCAAGAUCUUUGACUGCUAGAACCAAUGAGAGUGAAUCAACGAUAAGUCUGAAGGGAAUAAUGGAGCAGAUCGCUUCGAGAAUAAAUAAUGAUGAAACUGUGCGCUUUAACAUAAUAAGAAGGAAUGUGUGGGAUGGAGCUGCCAGAGCCAUGGGCCGUUCCAAUUUUGCACCAAAAAAGAAGAUGGAUAUAAAAUUCACAGAUGAUUACGGAAUAUCUGAGGGUGCCGCUGACAAUGGAGGGCCUACCCGAGAGUUCUUCAGGUUGUGUCUUUAUGAAAUCAAGGACAGUAUUGGAAUCUUUGAGGGUCCACCUAAUGCUAAAGUUUUUUUUAUAAUGUAUUUUUUUAAAUGUUUUUUUUAUGUAUUGUACUGAAAUUGACUAGGUCACUGAUAUAUUUGUAUUUACAUUUGGGAUAAAUAAGGACAAUAGUAUACUUUUUGUUUUUAUUUUUAGAUUAUAUAUUUGUUUAAUAUUUUUAGCUGUGAGAUUUGGCAAAAAAAGUGAUCUUGUAACCUUGGGAAAAUGUAAGCACUUUAAUCUAGUGUUAUUAAAAAGCAUUUUAUGUCAUUAAAGUCAUUUUAUAUAAAUAUUUUUCUCCUUUAAAUUGGGUUCUCUAUGUUAACAUGAAAGCCAGCUGUACUAUCGUUAGUCUCACUUGGAUAAUUGGUCAUAAUUCAUUCAAUCAU